AGAAUCAGCAUGUCAAAAAGAGACCGUGAAUAGUGAUGAGAGAUGAAAGACAUGUCUAAAAAAUAUGUAAUGAAUAACUCCCUUUGACUGAUAAUGUAGAUAUUAUUAGUGAAGGCAACAUUCAAGGAAAGAGAAAAAGACGGUCCUGAUUCACAUGUUUAAGCUAAUUGGAGUAAGUAUUAUUGUUGGUCUCGUUUCUAAGGAACAGAAGUAUUGGGUGUUUGGGGUUAUCUGUUCAGAUUAGAAUUUCAAUUAGAAUAGAAGGCUCACGCCUGUAAUUCCAGCACUUUGGGAGGCCCAGGCAGGCGAUCACCUGAGGUCAGGAGUUCGAGACCAGCCUGACCAACAUGGAGAAACCCCGUCUCUACUAAAAAUACAAAAUUAGCGAGGCGUGGUGGUGCAUGCCUGUAAUCCCAGCUACUCUGGAGGCUGAGGCAGGAGAAUUGUUUGAACCCGGGAGGCAGAGGUUGCGAUGAGCUGUGAUCACGCCAUUGCACCCCAGCCUGGGCAACAAGAGUGAAACUCCAUGUCAAAAAAAAAAAAAAAAGAAUAGUUGUGACAUUAAACAUAGGAGAGAGAAGGGUAAAUUGGCAUGGAGGAGCAAAGUGAAGUCACGCAUUGAACAGGGACGACAGAGAAAAACAUGCACGAAGCAAAAAUUUUCUUAUAAACAAAAAAGGAAUAAAUACAUCUUUAUAUCAGACCCUCUAGAUUCAUGUUUCUGUAGCUCACUGGUGGUGCUUGAUUUUCUGUAAAGUAGUCCUUAGACAGUUUGCUCAUGGAAGCAAGUAAAUGAGUUUUAAUUUUUGCUUUAUACAUUUUACAAAUUUAAAAGGUCAGAUCAAUUAUGAUUUUCACAUAAAUCUCAUUUCUUUCUUUUUUUU
RNAcentral lists this long non-coding RNA (884 nucleotides) under Homo sapiens (human). RNAcentral's name for it is "non-protein coding lnc-FGF9-15:2". The record is from RNAcentral. Lineage: Eukaryota; Metazoa; Chordata; Mammalia; Primates; Hominidae.